Molecule: non-coding RNA, 635 nt
Organism: Marmota flaviventris (yellow-bellied marmot)
Lineage: Eukaryota; Metazoa; Chordata; Mammalia; Rodentia; Sciuridae
Source: RefSeq, a predicted model, not a curated record
CUAUUCUUUUACUGUUUGUACUUCAUAAAGAGAGAAUGUGAGGUCCGCUAGAGCUUCCUAUUUCUUUAGAAGUUCAUCUGUGCUCUCCUUUGACCCCAAAGCCCUAUCUUUAUGGCUACCUGUAACAAAAGUAUUGGGUGCUGACAGAAAAGUGUUAAAGUAUUUAAAAACAAAAUGCUGAUGUGUCAUUCAAGUUAACAAACCCCAUGUGAGUCUCAGGAAGUGAUAUUUGAAUCUGAUGUUUUUACUCUUGUUUUUCUUUUCAUGUUACUUAAUGAUUCUCUUCUGGCUCGGAAUAAACAUCCCUAGCCCCAACCAGUGCCCAAUGAGACCCUCCUGGAAGGACAUUAUGUGACACCCCUGGAGGACCCUGUCUUUCUAUACCAGUGAACAGUCUUCAGUUCUUUCUGCUCCUGUUGACUACUUGUUACCAGCCUGAGAACUCCGUUUAACUUAACGGGAAGGAACCCGGCCUGUCUGCACUUGGAGGUCCGUCUCAAGCUUUCUUCUGUUAUGAUCAGUGCCUUCUGCUGAUCCUGGAGAACCUCCUCUCGUAUUUUUAGGUGUUUUGUUCAUUAUGUUUACUUUUUUGGAACUAUGUAAGCCUGACCACAAAUAAAACAUUGUUGCCUAAA